RNAcentral lists this ribosomal RNA (253 nucleotides) under uncultured bacterium. Its description in RNAcentral is "partial 16S ribosomal RNA". It matches the Rfam family "Bacterial small subunit ribosomal RNA", at positions 524 to 776 of the family's 1533-position model. The record is from RNAcentral.
UACGAAGGGGGCUAGCGUUGUUCGGAAUUACUGGGCGUAAAGGGCGCGUAGGCGGCUCUUUAAGUCGGGUGUGAAAGCCCCGGGCUCAACCUGGGAAUUGCAUUCGAGACUGAAUAGCUAGGGUACGGUAGAGGGAAGUGGAAUUUCCGGUGUAGCGGUGAAAUGCGUAGAUAUCGGAAGGAACACCAGUGGCGAAAGCGACUUCCUGGACCAGUACCGACGUUCAGGCACGAAAGCGUGGGGAGCAAACAGG